This 531-nucleotide ribosomal RNA is filed under the name Fusarium sp. E9235c. RNAcentral describes it as "eukaryotic LSU rRNA". The stretch from base 165 to 318 matches the Rfam family "5.8S ribosomal RNA". The record is from RNAcentral. Lineage: Eukaryota; Fungi; Ascomycota; Sordariomycetes; Hypocreales; Nectriaceae.
UGCGGAGGGAUCAUUACCGAGUUUACAACUCCCAAACCCCUGUGAACAUACCAAUUGUUGCCUCGGCGGAUCAGCCCGCUCCCGGUAAAACGGGACGGCCCGCCAGAGGACCCCUAAACUCUGUUUCUAUAUGUAACUUCUGAGUAAAACCAUAAAUAAAUCAAAACUUUCAACAACGGAUCUCUUGGUUCUGGCAUCGAUGAAGAACGCAGCAAAAUGCGAUAAGUAAUGUGAAUUGCAGAAUUCAGUGAAUCAUCGAAUCUUUGAACGCACAUUGCGCCCGCCAGUAUUCUGGCGGGCAUGCCUGUUCGAGCGUCAUUUCAACCCUCAAGCCCCCGGGUUUGGUGUUGGGGAUCGGCGAGCCCUUGCGGCAAGCCGGCCCCGAAAUCUAGUGGCGGUCUCGCUGCAGCUUCCAUUGCGUAGUAGUAAAACCCUCGCAACUGGUACGCGGCGCGGCCAAGCCGUUAAACCCCCAACUUCUGAAUGUUGACCUCGGAUCAGGUAGGAAUACCCGCUGAACUUAAGCAUAUC